This 253-nucleotide ribosomal RNA is filed under the name uncultured bacterium. RNAcentral describes it as "partial 16S ribosomal RNA". It matches the Rfam family "Bacterial small subunit ribosomal RNA", at positions 524 to 776 of the family's 1533-position model. The record is from RNAcentral.
UACGGGGGGGGCAAGCGUUGUUCGGAAUUACUGGGCGUAAAGGGCGCGUAGGCGGUUUGCUAAGUUGGAUGUGAAAACUCUGGGCUUAACCCAGAGCCUGCAUCCAAAACUGGCAAACUUGAGUACUGGAGGGGAAAGCGGAAUUCCUGGUGUAGCGGUGAAAUGCGUAGAUAUCGGGAGGAAUACCGAUGGCGAAGGCAGGUCUCUGGGCUGACACUGACGCUCAUGCACGAAAGCGUGGGGAGCAAACAGG